GUGAACUUGGUUAUGGGAUGCGAUUGCUGUAGAGAGAAUGACAGUGAAGACUACAGUUUAAAAAAAAGCAAGUCGACAACAAAGAAUGUCCUCAAGGGACUGAAAACAGAACAGAGGCAUUUUAAGACGCAUCAUCAUGCUAGUAACAAGGAGAACCCAACAGGCCAACCAAACAAGAAUAACAUUGAUCGGAACAGGGUCCAGCUAUGUUGUAGUUUUCUACAUUAUACUUGCACAAAGUAUUCAGGCCACAAAGGAAUGCUAAAAAUACCAAAAACCAAUAAAUCAAGGACCAAGCUUAUUGAUAGUGCUUUCUUAAGGAUGUUGAGUGACAACAAUGCAACACAAGAAUAUGUAAUGGCCCCAGGACGUGAGCUCUCUCUCCUCACCAA
Molecule: unclassified non-coding RNA, 392 nt
Filed under: Zea mays
Lineage: Eukaryota; Viridiplantae; Streptophyta; Magnoliopsida; Poales; Poaceae
Description: misc RNA Zm00001eb281460
Source: RNAcentral